RNAcentral lists this ribosomal RNA (467 nucleotides) under uncultured bacterium. Its description in RNAcentral is "partial 16S ribosomal RNA". It matches the Rfam family "Bacterial small subunit ribosomal RNA", at positions 28 to 506 of the family's 1533-position model. The record is from RNAcentral.
GACGAACGCUGGCGGCGUGCUUAACACAUGCAAGUCGAACGGAAAGGCCCUGCUUUUGUGGGGUGCUCGAGUGGCGAACGGGUGAGUAACACGUGAGUAACCUGCCCUUGACUUUGGGAUAACUUCAGGAAACUGAGGCUAAUACCGGAUAGGAGCUCCUGCUGCAUGGUGGGGGUUGGAAAGUUUCGGCGGUUGGGGAUGGACUCGCGGCUUAUCAGCUUGUUGGUGGGGUAGUGGCUUACCAAGGCUUUGACGGGUAGCCGGCCUGAGAGGGUGACCGGCCACAUUGGGACUGAGAUACGGCCCAGACUCCUACGGGAGGCAGCAGUGGGGAAUAUUGCACAAUGGGCGGAAGCCUGAUGCAGCAACGCCGCGUGCGGGAGGACGGCCUUCGGGUGGUAAACCGCUUUCGCCUGUGACGAAGCGUGAGUGACGGUAAUGGGGAAAGAAGCACCGGCUAACUACGU